Molecule: unclassified non-coding RNA, 336 nt
Filed under: soil metagenome
Description: partial contains 5.8S ribosomal RNA, internal transcribed spacer 2, and large subunit ribosomal RNA
Rfam family: 5.8S ribosomal RNA (bases 1-120)
Source: RNAcentral
GAUGAAGAACGUAGCGAAAUGCGAUAAGUAGUGUGAAUUGCAGAAUUCAGUGAAUCAUCGAAUCUUUGAACGCACAUUGCGCCCCAUGGUAUUCCGUGGGGCAUGCCUGUUCGAGCGUCAUUUCAACCAUCAAGCUCCCGGGCUUGCGUUGGGGCCCUGCGGCUGCCGCAGGCCCCUAAAACCAGUGGCGGGCUCGCUGUCACACCGAGCGCAGUAGCAUUUCUUCGCUCUGGGCGCGGCGGCGGGCGCUUGCCGUAAAACAUACCACUUUUUAAAGGUUGACCUCGGAUCAGGUAGGAAUACCCGCUGAACUUAAGCAUAUCAAUAAGCGGAGGA